RNAcentral lists this unclassified non-coding RNA (845 nucleotides) under Hevea brasiliensis (rubber tree). Lineage: Eukaryota; Viridiplantae; Streptophyta; Magnoliopsida; Malpighiales; Euphorbiaceae. The record is from RNAcentral.
CUUGAGCCUUUAAUAACUAUGCUCUUCAGUGGUUUGCUAGUGUUUCAAAAGCAUUCAGAAAACCAUGCAUGUCACAGUGUUUGGGGGGUGGUUUGCAUACUAGAUUAAAUAUGCCUCAGUGAGUGUUUGGUUUAAGUUAUUAAUAGAAUGCUGCUUUGUACUGGAGUCCUACCUAUGAGAACAACUUUUGUUCAUGCAGGCCUUUGUGGUUGGCAGGCAGGUGAUGUAAUUUAAUGACGUUACUUAGUUUUAACACCACACCAUUCUUUCUGAAGUUAAUUUUUUUAAUCUGGAUAUUAUUGAGUACAAAACAAAUUUAUAAUGCUCUCGGAUUGUAAAAUAUGUGCUUAUACUUUGAAUUUGUCUCAGGCUGUGAAUCUGUGAUUGCUGGAGAAAAUGCAGGGUUUUCCUAUGAGAAUCUGCAGCAUUACUGUGUAGAUCCUGAUAUCCAUUUCCAUACUGUAUUCUAUGACAGUGGUGGAAACCAAAUUGUCCCAGCUUUGUUACCUGACAAGUUGUACAUCCUUGGCUGUUUGACUGGUAAUCUAGUAUUAGACCUAUGUUGAUUCCUUAUAGACUGUGUGGCUCCCUAGCUUCAGCCUCAAACUGCUUCAUUGAAGCAAGGAAAUGAAAGUGUAUUAUUUUUAGUUAAAUUGUACAGUGUCAUUGGAAUGAUCAUUUGAAGUUGCUUUGCUCACAAGGUCGAAUUAUCUAUCACUCUCUGCUUAUUGUGUUGCUUUCCAUGUGUAUUAGCUCUUUGGCAGUUUUAAGUUCAUGUGAGCCAUUGAUAAAUGUGAAGUGGUAACUUUUGUAGGAAUGCACCUUUAGCUCCAUCAGACAUGUAU